UACGGAGGGUGCGAGCGUUGUCCGGAAUCAUUGGGCGUAAAGGGCGCGUAGGUGGCGUGGUAAGUCUGUGGUGAAAGCGCGGGGCUCAACCCCGCGUCGGCCGUGGAUACUGCUAUGCUAGAGCACUGUAGAGGCAGGCGGAAUUCCGGGUGUAGCGGUGGAAUGCGUAGAGAUCCGGAAGAACACCAGGGGCGAAGGCGGCCUGCUGGGCAGUUGCUGACACUGAUGCGCGACAGCGUGGGGAGCAAACAGG
This 253-nucleotide ribosomal RNA is filed under the name uncultured bacterium. Its description in RNAcentral is "partial 16S ribosomal RNA". It matches the Rfam family "Bacterial small subunit ribosomal RNA", at positions 524 to 776 of the family's 1533-position model. The record is from RNAcentral.